RNAcentral lists this unclassified non-coding RNA (22 nucleotides) under Chlamydomonas reinhardtii. RNAcentral's name for it is "small RNA Cre_4091". The record is from RNAcentral. Lineage: Eukaryota; Viridiplantae; Chlorophyta; Chlorophyceae; Chlamydomonadales; Chlamydomonadaceae.
UUUAAUGAACUUCUCAAGCAAG